UAACGCGUGGGAAACCUGNCCUGUACACACGGAUAACAUACCGAAAGGUAUGCUNAUACNAGAUAAAAUACUCUUAUCGCAUGGUAGAAGUAUCAAAGCUUUUGCGGUACAGGAUGGACCCGCGUCUGAUUAGCUAGUUGGUAAGGUAACGGCUUACCAAGGCGACGAUCAGUAGCCGACCUGAGAGGGUGAUCGGCCACAUUGGAACUGAGACACGGUCCAAACUCCUACGGGAGGCAGCAGUGGGGAAUAUUGCACAAUGGGCGAAAGCCUGAUGCAGCAACGCCGCGUGAGCGAUGAAGGCCUUCGGGUCGUAAAGCUCUGUCCUCAAGGAAGAUAAUGACGGUACUUGAGGAGGAAGCCCCGGCUAACUACGUGCCAGCAGCCGCGGUAAUACGUAGGGGGCUAGCGUUAUCCGGAAUUACUGGGCGUAAAGGGUGCGUAGGUGGUUUCUUAAGUCAGAGGUGAAAGGCUACGGCUCAACCGUAGUAAGCCUUUGAAACUGGGGAACUUGAGUGCAGGAGAGGAGAGUGGAAUUCCUAGUGUAGCGGUGAAAUGCGUAGAUAUUAGGAGGAACACCAGUUGCGAAGGCGGCUCUCUGGACUGUAACUGACACUGAGGCACGAAAGCGUGGGGAGCAAACAGGAUUAGAUACCCUGGUAGU
Molecule: ribosomal RNA, 664 nt
Filed under: uncultured bacterium
Lineage: Bacteria
Description: bacterial SSU rRNA
Rfam family: Bacterial small subunit ribosomal RNA
Source: RNAcentral